This 582-nucleotide ribosomal RNA is filed under the name Vibrio parahaemolyticus. Its description in RNAcentral is "bacterial SSU rRNA". It matches the Rfam family "Bacterial small subunit ribosomal RNA", at positions 603 to 1184 of the family's 1533-position model. Lineage: Bacteria; Pseudomonadati; Pseudomonadota; Gammaproteobacteria; Vibrionales; Vibrionaceae. The record is from RNAcentral.
CGGGGCUCAACCUCGGAAUUGCAUUUGAAACUGGCAGACUAGAGUACUGUAGAGGGGGGUAGAAUUUCAGGUGUAGCGGUGAAAUGCGUAGAGAUCUGAAGGAAUACCGGUGGCGAAGGCGGCCCCCUGGACAGAUACUGACACUCAGAUGCGAAAGCGUGGGGAGCAAACAGGAUUAGAUACCCUGGUAGUCCACGCCGUAAACGAUGUCUACUUGGAGGUUGUGGCCUUGAGCCGUGGCUUUCGGAGCUAACGCGUUAAGUAGACCGCCUGGGGAGUACGGUCGCAAGAUUAAAACUCAAAUGAAUUGACGGGGGCCCGCACAAGCGGUGGAGCAUGUGGUUUAAUUCGAUGCAACGCGAAGAACCUUACCUACUCUUGACAUCCAGAGAACUUUCCAGAGAUGGAUUGGUGCCUUCGGGAACUCUGAGACAGGUGCUGCAUGGCUGUCGUCAGCUCGUGUUGUGAAAUGUUGGGUUAAGUCCCGCAACGAGCGCAACCCUUAUCCUUGUUUGCCAGCGAGUAAUGUCGGGAACUCCAGGGAGACUGCCGGUGAUAAACCGGAGGAAGGUGGGGACGACG